AGGACGAACGCUGGCGGCGUGGAUUAGGCAUGCAAGUCGAGCGACGGUUUACCUUCGGGUAAAUACGGAGCGGCGAACGGGUGAGUAACACGUGAACAACCUGCCCUCACAUUCCGGAUAAUUGGCCGAAAGGCCUUGUAAUACGGGCGAGGAUGAUUUUGGGGCAUCUCAGGAUCAAGGAACGAGCAAUCGGUGCGAGGAGGGGUUCGCGGCUUAUCAGGUAGUUGGUGGGUAACGGCCUACCAAGCCGACGACGAGUAGCUGGUCUGAGAGGAUGGUCAGCCACAUUGGAACUGAGACACUGUCCAGACUCCUACGGGAGCUGCAGUCGAGAAUCUUGAUCAAUCGACACGAAAGUGUGAACCAGCGACG
This 372-nucleotide ribosomal RNA is filed under the name uncultured soil bacterium. RNAcentral's name for it is "bacterial SSU rRNA". It matches the Rfam family "Bacterial small subunit ribosomal RNA", at positions 26 to 396 of the family's 1533-position model. The record is from RNAcentral.